AGCGAACGCUGGCGGCAGGCCUAACACAUGCAAGUCGAACGAUCCUUCGGGAUAGUGGCGGACGGGUGAGUAACACGCGGGAACGUACCUUUAGGUUCGGGAUAACUCAGGGAAACUUGAGCUAAUACCGGAUGUGCCCUCCGGGGGAACGAUUUAUCGCCUUUAGAGCGGCCCGCGUUAGAUUAGCUAGUUGGUGAGGUAAAGGCUCACCAAGGCUCCGAUCUAUAGCUGGUCUGAGAGGAUGAUCAGCCACACUGGGACUGAGACACGGCCCAGACUCCUACGGGAGGCAGCAGUGGGGAAUCUUGCGCAAUGGGCGAAAGCCUGACGCAGCCAUGCCGCGUGAAUGAUGAAGGUCUUAGGAUUGUAAAAUUCUUUUAGCAGGGACGAUAAUGACGGUACCUGCAGAAAAAGCCCCGGCUAACUUCGUGCCAGCCGCCGCGGUAA
This 447-nucleotide ribosomal RNA is filed under the name uncultured bacterium. RNAcentral's name for it is "partial 16S ribosomal RNA". It matches the Rfam family "Bacterial small subunit ribosomal RNA", at positions 29 to 523 of the family's 1533-position model. The record is from RNAcentral.